CCUACGGGAGGCAGCAGUGGGGAAUUUUGGACAAUGGGCGAAAGCCUGAUCCAGCAAUGCCGCGUGAGUGAAGAAGGCCUUCGGGUUGUAAAGCUCUUUUGUCAGGGAAGAAACGGUGAGAGCUAAUAUCUCUUGCUAAUGACGGUACCUGAAGAAUAAGCACCGGCUAACUACGUGCCAGCAGCCGCGGUAAUACGUAGGGUGCAAGCGUUAAUCGGAAUUACUGGGCGUAAAGCGUGCGCAGGCGGUUUUGUAAGUCUGAUGUGAAAUCCCCGGGCUCAACCUGGGAAUUGCAUUGGAGACUGCAAGGCUAGAAUCUGGCAGAGGGGGGUAGAAUUCCACGUGUAGCAGUGAAAUGCGUAGAUAUGUGGAGGAACACCGAUGGCGAAGGCAGCCCCCUGGGUCAAGAUUGACGCUCAUGCACGAAAGCGUGGGGAGCAAACAGGAUUAGAUACCCUGGUAGUCCACGCCCUAAACGAUGUCUACUAGUUGUCGGGUCUUAAUUGACUUGGUAACGCAGCUAACGCGUGAAGUAGACCGCCUGGGGAGUACGGUGCAAGNUUAAAACUCAAAGGAAUUGACGGNNGAGAGNGCGAGCGACGACGAGGGAGAGG
Molecule: ribosomal RNA, 614 nt
Filed under: uncultured bacterium
Lineage: Bacteria
Description: bacterial SSU rRNA
Rfam family: Bacterial small subunit ribosomal RNA
Source: RNAcentral